This 465-nucleotide ribosomal RNA is filed under the name uncultured bacterium. Its description in RNAcentral is "partial 16S ribosomal RNA". It matches the Rfam family "Bacterial small subunit ribosomal RNA", at positions 338 to 795 of the family's 1533-position model. The record is from RNAcentral.
CCUACGGGUGGCAGCAGUAGGGAAUCUUCCACAAUGGGCGAAAGCCUGAUGGAGCAACGCCGCGUGGGUGAAGAAGGUCUUCGGAGCGUAAAACCCUGUUGUUAGAGAAGAAAGUGCGGGAGAGUAACUGUUCACGUCUCGACGGUAUCUAACCAGAAAGCCACGGCUAACUACGUGCCAGCAGCCGCGGUAAUACGUAGGUGGCAAGCGUUAACCGGAUUUAUUGGGCGUAAAGGGAACGCAGGCGGUCUUUUAAGUCUGAUGUGAAAGCCUUCGGCUUAACCGGAGUAGUGCAUUGGAAACUGGGAGACUUGAGUGCAGGAGAGGCGAGUGGAACUCCAUGUGUAGCGGUGAAAUGCGUAGAUAUCUGGAAGAACACCAGUGGCGAACGCGGCUCUCCGGUCUGUAACUGACGCUGAGGUUCGAAAGCGUGGGUAGCAAACAGGAUUAGAUACCCCUGUAGUC